This 763-nucleotide ribosomal RNA is filed under the name Bacillus subtilis. RNAcentral describes it as "bacterial SSU rRNA". It matches the Rfam family "Bacterial small subunit ribosomal RNA", at positions 54 to 798 of the family's 1533-position model. Lineage: Bacteria; Bacillati; Bacillota; Bacilli; Caryophanales; Bacillaceae. The record is from RNAcentral.
AAUGCAAGUCGAGCGGACAGAUGGGAGCUUGCUCCCUGAUGUUAGCGGCGGACGGGUGAGUAACACGUGGGUAACCUGCCUGUAAGACUGGGAUAACUCCGGGAAACCGGGGCUAAUACCGGAUGCUUGUUUGAACCGCAUGGUUCAAACAUAAAAGGUGGCUUCGGCUACCACUUACAGAUGGACCCGCGGCGCAUUAGCUAGUUGGUGAGGUAAUGGCUCACCAAGGCAACGAUGCGUAGCCGACCUGAGAGGGUGAUCGGCCACACUGGGACUGAGACACGGCCCAGACUCCUACGGGAGGCAGCAGUAGGGAAUCUUCCGCAAUGGACGAAAGUCUGACGGAGCAACGCCGCGUGAGUGAUGAAGGUUUUCGGAUCGUAAAGCUCUGUUGUUAGGGAAGAACAAGUACCGUUCGAAUAGGGCGGUACCUUGACGGUACCUAACCAGAAAGCCACGGCUAACUACGUGCCAGCAGCCGCGGUAAUACGUAGGUGGCAAGCGUUGUCCGGAAUUAUUGGGCGUAAAGGGCUCGCAGGCGGUUCCUUAAGUCUGAUGUGAAAGCCCCCGGCUCAACCGGGGAGGGUCAUUGGAAACUGGGGAACUUGAGUGCAGAAGAGGAGAGUGGAAUUCCACGUGUAGCGGUGAAAUGCGUAGAGAUGUGGAGGAACACCAGUGGCGAAGGCGACUCUCUGGUCUGUAACUGACGCUGAGGAGCGAAAGCGUGGGGAGCGAACAGGAUUAGAUACCCCUGGUAGUCCAC